AUGGGGAAGGUGGUCGUCGCGGAGGCCACGGCGCGGCAGGUGGCGUCCUUCGUCCUCGGCGCCGCCGCGGCGCUCACCGUCGUCAUGCUCGUCCAGUACCGGGCGCCGGCCGCCGGGCUCAGCCGCGCCAGGACGCCGGGCCACUUCUCCGGCUUGAAGUUAUCAUCCGACGAACAGCACCACCGCCGUAACGGGACGGCAGCAGCGCGCGCCGUUGUGCAUCAUCGGGCGCCACCGGUCGCCGGCAGUGCUGCCCGAGACGACGAUCGUCGCCGUCCGGCGAACGCCACAACAGUCACAAAGCCCAAUUCUACCUCCACAAGUCAUCUUCCCAGCACGCAUCGCCAUGAAGAAAAGGGAGGGAAGGAGGAGUCGGCGGAGUUCCGGGGGCUGGCGGCGGCGGUGGCACGCGCGGCGAUGGACGACCGGACGGUGAUCAUCACGUGCGUGAACCAGGCGUGGGCGGCGCCGGGCUCCCUGCUGGACCUGUUCCUGGAGAGCUUCCGCAUCGGCGACGGCACGGCGCGGCUCCUCCCACACGUGCUCGUCGUGGCCAUGGACCCUGGCGCCCACGCGCGGUGCCUUGCCGUGCACCGGCACUGCUACCACUACACCAUCCCGGGGCUCAACAUCGACUUCGCCGCCCACAAGUACUUCCUCUCCAAGGACUACCUGGAGCUGGUGUGGAGCAAGCUGAAGCUGCAGCGCCGCAUCCUGGAGCUUGGCUACGGCUUCCUCUUCACCGACGUCGACAUCGUGUGGCUGCGCGACCCGUUCAAGCACGUGACGGCGUACGCCGACAUGACGGUCUCCAGCGACGUCUACUUCGGCGACCCCGACAACCUGGGCAACUUCCCCAACACGGGGUUCUUCCACGUGAAGCCCAACGCGCGGACCAUCGCCAUGACGAAGCUGUGGCACGGCGGUAGGGACAAGUACCCCGGCGCCAACGAGCAGCCGGUGUUCAACAUGAUGAAGAAGCAGAUGGUGGCGGAGCUCGGGCUCCGGGUGCAGUACCUCAACCCGGCCUACGUCGGCGGGUUCUGCAGCUACGGGAAGGAUUUGGGGAAGAUCGUCACCAUGCACGCGAAUUGCUGCGUGGGGAUUGGGAACAAGAUUAGGGAUUUGAAGGGCGUGCUGGGUGAUUGGAGGAACUAUACCAGGAUGCCGCCCUGGGAGAGGCACCGGGCCAAGUGGACCGUGCCCGGCGCCUGCAUCCGAGCCGAGAAACAAGUUUGA
Molecule: ribosomal RNA, 1239 nt
Filed under: Triticum aestivum (bread wheat)
Lineage: Eukaryota; Viridiplantae; Streptophyta; Magnoliopsida; Poales; Poaceae
Description: partial small subunit ribosomal RNA
Source: RNAcentral